AUGAAUAUUAUACGUUGUUCCAUUAAAACACUCAAGGGGUUAUACGAUAUAUCGGGUGUAGAAGUAGGCCAACACUUCUAUUGGCAGAUAGGAGGUCCAGUUGUCAUAGCUGUUCGGAAUACACAAACCAUCCCGACCGACGGUCAGAAUUUUUUUGAAUGUGUCCUUGAGUUUAUUCGAGACUUGAGCAAAACUCGGAUUGGAGAAGAAUAUGGUCCCUGGGUUCCCUUUAUUGGAACUACGUUCCUUUUUAUUUUUGUUUUGAAUUGGUCGGGUGCUCUUUUACCUUGGAAAAUUAUAGAGUUACCCCAUGGGGAAUUAGAAGCGCCCACGAAUGAUAUAAAUACUACUGUUGCUUUAGCUUUACUCACGUCAGUGGCAUAUUUUUAUGCUGGUCUUAGCAAAAAAAGAUUGAGCUAUUUUGAGAAAUAUAUUAAACCAACUCCGAUCCUUUUACCAAUUAACAUCCUAGAAGAUUUCACAAAACCAUUAUCGCUUAGCUUUCGACUUUUCGGGAAUAUAUUGGCGGAUGAAUAA
This 537-nucleotide ribosomal RNA is filed under the name Triticum aestivum (bread wheat). RNAcentral's name for it is "partial small subunit ribosomal RNA". The record is from RNAcentral. Lineage: Eukaryota; Viridiplantae; Streptophyta; Magnoliopsida; Poales; Poaceae.